GGCCGUGUGCCCGAGUGGCUUAGGGAACCGUCUGCAAAGCGGUACACGCGGGUUCGAUCCCCGCCAUGGCCU
This is a transfer RNA of Streptomyces sp. CB02056, 72 nucleotides long. It matches the Rfam family "tRNA". From Rfam's summary of the family: Transfer RNA (tRNA) molecules are approximately 80 nucleotides in length. Their secondary structure includes four short double-helical elements and three loops (D, anti-codon, and T loops). NCBI's taxonomy places the organism in Bacteria, Bacillati, Actinomycetota, Actinomycetes, Kitasatosporales, Streptomycetaceae. The record is from Rfam.